RNAcentral lists this ribosomal RNA (465 nucleotides) under Vreelandella stevensii. Its description in RNAcentral is "partial 16S ribosomal RNA". It matches the Rfam family "Bacterial small subunit ribosomal RNA", at positions 338 to 795 of the family's 1533-position model. The record is from RNAcentral. Lineage: Bacteria; Pseudomonadati; Pseudomonadota; Gammaproteobacteria; Oceanospirillales; Halomonadaceae.
CCUACGGGAGGCUGCAGUGGGGAAUAUUGGACAAUGGGGGCAACCCUGAUCCAGCCAUGCCGCGUGUGUGAAGAAGGCCCUCGGGUUGUAAAGCACUUUCAGUGAGGAAGAACGCCUGGUGGUUAAUACCCAUCAGGAAAGACAUCACUCACAGAAGAAGCACCGGCUAACUCCGUGCCAGCAGCCGCGGUAAUACGGAGGGUGCGAGCGUUAAUCGGAAUUACUGGGCGUAAAGCGCGCGUAGGGGGCUUGAUAAGCCGGUUGUGAAAGCCCCGGGCUCAACCUGGGAACGGCAUCCGGAACUGUCAAGCUAGAGUGCAGGAGAGGAAGGUAGAAUUCCCGGUGUAGCGGUGAAAUGCGUAGAGAUCGGGAGGAAUACCAGUGGCGAAGGCGGCCUUCUGGACUGACACUGACACUGAGGUGCGAAAGCGUGGGUAGCAAACAGGAUUAGAUACCCCGGUAGUC